This 441-nucleotide ribosomal RNA is filed under the name uncultured bacterium. Its description in RNAcentral is "partial 16S ribosomal RNA". It matches the Rfam family "Bacterial small subunit ribosomal RNA", at positions 338 to 795 of the family's 1533-position model. The record is from RNAcentral.
CCUACGGGAGGCAGCAGUGGGGAAUAUUGCACAAUGGGGGAAACCCUGAUGAAGCGACGCCGCGUGAGUGAAGAAGUAUUUCGGUAUGUAAAGCUCUAGCAGCAGGGAAGAAGAAAGACGGUACCUGACUAAGAAGCCCCGGCUAACUACGUGCCAGCAGCCGCGGUCAUACGUAGGGGGCAAGCGUUAUCCGGAUUUAAUGGGUGUAAAGGGAGCGUAGACGGCUGUGCAAGUCUGAAGUGAAAGCCCAGGGCUCAACCCUGGGACUGCUUUGGAAACUGUGGAGCUAGAGUGCUGGAGAGGUAAGUGGAAUUCCUAGUGUAGCUGUGAAAUGCGUAGAUAUUAGGAGGAACACCAGUGGCGAAGGCGGCUUACUGGACAGUAACUGACGUUGAGGCUCGAAAGCGUGGGGAGCAAACAGGAUUAGAUACCCUAGUAGUC